UAAAAAAGAAAGACGUGUUUGGUGUUUUGCCGACCGGAUCCAGCAAAAGUUUAAUCUAUCAACUAGCUCCGCUAGCAUCUUUGUUGCUCUGGUUGGUAGAUGCGCUAUCCUAUUUCGGCAGAGGGGAUUUGAAAGACAACUGUUUAAUCCCCCCCCCACUCGGAUUGAACCCUGCCAAUGGUGUGUUAGCAGACCCAAC
Etheostoma cragini (Arkansas darter) is the source of this 199-nucleotide long non-coding RNA. RefSeq lists it as uncharacterized. Lineage: Eukaryota; Metazoa; Chordata; Actinopteri; Perciformes; Percidae. The transcript is spliced from 3 exons. The record is from RefSeq and is a predicted model, not a curated record.